Tribolium castaneum (red flour beetle) is the source of this 2230-nucleotide RNA transcript. RefSeq lists it as uncharacterized. Lineage: Eukaryota; Metazoa; Arthropoda; Insecta; Coleoptera; Tenebrionidae. The transcript is spliced from 7 exons. The record is from RefSeq and is a predicted model, not a curated record.
GAAACAUCUAUGAAAUGCAUAAUAUUAGUACUUGAAGAUAUAGAACGCGGAGUGUAUUUAAUUUUGCGUUUGGUAUUUAACAUGUCGUAUGAUUCUAAAUAUAGUGGCUACGAAUUUGGCGCAACUGCCUUCGUUUCCUUAGCCCUCAUAGCAAUGUUUACACUGCUCCUAAUACUAUUUGAAGUAGUACAACGCAAACAACAAAGAUUAUUAAAAGAAGGUUACUAUUUCGUCGAGGAAUAUGUAACAAUAAGGCGUACAAGGUUAAUACCGGUACCCCCGUCCAAUAUUGAUGCCUCUGAUCCCAAUCAUCCUCGAGUAAUAAAUCCUGCGUUACUUGAUCGAACUGGCUGCAUAUGUUGUGCAUAACACUUUUUGUAUUAGAAUUAUUUAUCGUGUACUGAACAAUAAAUAAAUGUAUGAAAGUGAGGUUGUAUUUAAAAUUCUUUGGCGGUGACGCAGUAUCAAACAUUGUGGAGACGUGCAGACGCAAUCGAUGCAAUACCAAAGUGCAGUAUAAAGUGACGCAGUAAAGAAAACAAAAAUUGAAUUGUGACCAAAUUGGCACCGAUCGGUAAAAAGUAUUAACAAAUCAGAAAUUACACAAGUGUUUUUCAAAGUAUUGUUUAACUGCGUCAUACUUCCGGACUAACCAGAUAGUAGAUAAAAAUACCUGGUGUUAUUCGUUAAUACGAAACAAUGUUUCGCGUUUUUAGCAACUCAGAUGCUGCCAUUUGUGGCGCAAUAGCCAUUGCUGAAGUUAUAUGCGUGUUAACGUACGUCAUUGUAUCAAGUAUAAGAUUUCGAAAAAAAAUUGUUGCAAUGGGGCGAUUAAUCCCAGUUCAAGUGAUACUGCUUGGAGGGGCAGUUCCAGUAAGCCAGGCCGAUCCAACAAACCAAUAUCAAACACCUCCCCCAGGUUUCUAUCCACCUCAACAACCACCCCCACAGUCAGGUUUUUACCCUCCGCCGUAUGAACAAACGCUAAAUCCUAACUUGCCACUUAAUAAAUAAAUUUAUUCGUAAUCGUUCAAAUAUAUACAGUAACCAAAUAAAGCCUUUAAUUCGAAGAAGUUGACUCACUUUUAAGCGGCCCAAAAGCAGCAUACUCCACACACCUGGACGGGUCAGUGGGGUAGUAUUCCUGACACUUGGUCAUCAAUCUCUUCAACCCUUGAAUGUACUUCCUUUGAGUUUCAUCGUUCAUCACGUGAGCCACGUUUUUCGAAAAGAUUUUUUCGCGCCCUGUACGAGCGUGGAUGCCCACCAUGGUCACACCAAUGGGCCAUGGCGCGUUCCCGAUGGCCAUUUGCAAAUAUGCAUCGCUUGCCUGUUAAAAUUAAUUUAAUAAAAUUGAACCAACUUAAACUUUCUUACUUUGAGGUAAUUCCUGUUCAUUAGAUGAACCACAAUUUCUGUUAAACUGUCCGAAAUGUCCUCAGGCAAUGUGAAAGAUUUUAGUUUCCGCAGAAGCGGUUUCAGGUAUUGCUGGGUUUGCGUGUAUGUGGCGAGCGCCAAUUUUCCCUUGGUUCCGCGUUUUUCCUCAGCCGGACGGUUCUGCAUUUGUUCGUUCCAUAAUUUGAGAAUGAACUAAAAAAUACUGUACUUUAGUGCCGAAAAGUAAUUAAUUACUUUCAUGUCCGCAAUAUUCUUUGUCAGGGUUGCAGGCAAUAAUUAACGUAGUAGGUGUUUAAUUUUUCUUUGCUUUAGAAUCCUCCAAGGCAUUAUUUUUUAUUGCUUUAGUGUUCAUUUGUGUUUGCAUAAUAGUUUGAACCACUUUUUUAUAAAUAUACGAGUCAUGGAACUAAUUAAAUCAUAGAUUUGAUAAGAUACGUGCUUUUAUCUCGCAUUGUUUGCGUGGUGGUUAACUCUAAACACACAAAAUGGCAGAAGACGACGCACCUAUCCCUUUAAUAAUUGUAGUUGUGGUAUUUUAUGUUGCUGGUUUUGUGAUCGCCUUGUAUAUCCGUAUGUCAAAAAUUGUGUUAAUCCGCAAAAUCAAAGAAACUGGUCGAGUCAUUUCGCUCUCGCAAACCCUGAUAUCAAUGUUGAUGCAUCAGUUACAAGAACACCAAAGGCAGCAAAUAUCACCGGCUACUGGUCUGCCGCCACCCCCACCUUACACGAUAGAAGCGCCGGCGGCGCCCCCCGUGGAACCCAACGAAUUGCCGCCCCCUUAUGUAGCACCACCCCCGUAUGCAAAAUAAACUAAGAUAUUAACCUCAAUAAA